GUCAGGUGUGGUGGUGCAUGCCUGUAGUCCCAGCUACUUGGGAGGCUGAGGUGGGAGGAUCACUUGAGUCUGGGAGGUCGAGGCUGCAGUGACCCGUGAUUGCACCACUGUACUCCAGCCUGGACGACAGAGUGAGAUCCUGCCUCUA
RNAcentral lists this non-coding RNA (148 nucleotides) under Chlorocebus sabaeus (green monkey). Lineage: Eukaryota; Metazoa; Chordata; Mammalia; Primates; Cercopithecidae. The record is from Rfam by way of RNAcentral.